GGACGGGUGAGUAAUGUCUGGGGAUCUGCCUGAUGGAGGGGGAUAACUACUGGAAACGGUAGCUAAUACCGCAUAAUGUCGCAAGACCAAAGAGGGGGACCUUCGGGCCUCACGCACUAGGAUGAACCCAGAUGAGAUUAGCUAGUAGGUGGGGUAACGGCUCACCUAGGCGACGAUCCCUAGCUGGUCUGAGAGGAUGAUCAGCCACACUGGGACUGAGACACGGCCCAGACUCCUACGGGAGGCAGCA
This 250-nucleotide ribosomal RNA is filed under the name uncultured bacterium. Its description in RNAcentral is "partial 16S ribosomal RNA". It matches the Rfam family "Bacterial small subunit ribosomal RNA", at positions 100 to 353 of the family's 1533-position model. The record is from RNAcentral.